Molecule: ribosomal RNA, 400 nt
Filed under: uncultured bacterium
Lineage: Bacteria
Description: bacterial SSU rRNA
Rfam family: Bacterial small subunit ribosomal RNA
Source: RNAcentral
GGGGAAUCUUGGACAAUGGGCGCAAGCCUGAUCCAGCCAUGCCGCGUGAGUGAUGAAGGCCCUAGGGUUGUAAAACUCUUUCGUGGGGGACGAUAAUGACGGUACCCCAAGAAGAAGCUCCGGCUAACUUCGUGCCAGCAGCCGCGGUAAUACGAAGGGGGCUAGCGUUGUUCGGAUUUACUGGGCGUAAAGCGCGUGUAGGCGGACUGGAAAGUUGGGGGUGAAAUCCCGAGGCUCAACCUCGGAACUGCCUCCAAAACUUCCAGUCUGGACUCAAGCAGAGGCAAGUGGAAUUGCGAGUGUAGAGGUGAAAUUCGUAGAUAUUCGCAGGAACACCAGUGGCGAAGGCGACUUGCUGGGCUUGUAGUGACGCUGAGACGCGAAAGCGUGGGGAGCAAAC